GAUGAACGCUGGCGGCGUGCUUAACACAUGCAAGUCGAACGGAAAGGCCCAAGCUUGCUUGGGUACUCGAGUGGCGAACGGGUGAGUAACACGUGGGUGAUCUGCCCUGCACUUCGGGAUAAGCCUGGGAAACUGGGUCUAAUACCGGAUAGGACCACAUUUUGGAUGGUGUGGUGGAAAGUUUUUCGGUGUGGGAUGAGCUCGCGGCCUAUCAGCUUGUUGGUGGGGUAAUGGCCUACCAAGGCGUCGACGGGUAGCCGGCCUGAGAGGGUGUACGGCCAGAUUGGGACUGAGAUACGGCCCAGACUCCUACGGGAGGCAGAAGUGGGGAAUAUUGAACAAUGGGCGCAAGCCUGAUGCAGCGACGCCGCGUGAGGGAUGACGGCCUUCGGGUUGUAAACUCCUUUCGCUAGGGACGAAGCGUUAUGUGACGGUACCUGGAGAAGAAGCACCGGCUAACUACGUG
RNAcentral lists this ribosomal RNA (466 nucleotides) under uncultured bacterium. Its description in RNAcentral is "partial 16S ribosomal RNA". It matches the Rfam family "Bacterial small subunit ribosomal RNA", at positions 28 to 507 of the family's 1533-position model. The record is from RNAcentral.